GUGGGGAAUAUUGGACAAUGGGCGAAAGCCUGAUCCAGCCAUGCCGCGUGUGUGAAGAAGGUCUUCGGAUUGUAAAGCACUUUAAGUUGGGAGGAAGGGCAGUAAGUUAAUACCUUGCUGUUUUGACGUUACCGACAGAAUAAGCACCGGCUAACUUCGUGCCAGCAGCCGCGGUAAUACGAAGGGUGCAAGCGUUAAUCGGAAUUACUGGGCGUAAAGCGCGCGUAGGUGGUUCAGCAAGUUGGAGGUGAAAUCCCCGGGCUCAACCUGGGAACUGCCUCCAAAACUACUGGGCUAGAGUACGGUAGAGGGUAGUGGAAUUUCCUGUGUAGCGGUGAAAUGCGUAGAUAUAGGAAGGAACACCAGUGGCGAAGGCGACUACCUGGACUGAUACUGACACUGAGGUGCGAAAGCGUGGGGAGCAAACAGGAUUAGAAACCCGGGUAGUCC
This 450-nucleotide ribosomal RNA is filed under the name uncultured bacterium. RNAcentral's name for it is "bacterial SSU rRNA". It matches the Rfam family "Bacterial small subunit ribosomal RNA", at positions 354 to 796 of the family's 1533-position model. The record is from RNAcentral.